UGAAUAUUCAUGACAGCAUUAUUCGUAACAGUCAUAAACUGGAAACAAUCCAAAUGCCCAUCAGCAGGUGAAUGAUAAACGAACCGUGGUCUGUCCACACAAUGGGUGUUCUUCCGCAAUAAAAAGGAGUGCAAUAAUGAUGUAUACGAUAUAACGGAACUGAUGGAAGAAGCCAGACAACCCCCAGCCUGUGGUGUUCUCGUGAGAGCAGCCAGAACGGACUCAGACGGAGCUGUUAAUUUCUUGACUGUGGCGGGGAUUUCACGGGGUCUUGAGAGCCGUGAAAGACUGAAGCACCGUCUCUGAGGUGGAGGCAUCGCUGGAUCCAGCUCCUCAUCCGCUGUCCACGUCAGCAUGCUUUGCCAUGUCACUCUGCGUGCCCUCCCUCUGGGGAUGGGCAGCUGUCUCAGCCCUCGACAGAAGGCAUGCGGCUCCCCCAUGUGACUUGCUUUUGGGGGCGGGACGUCAGCAGAUGUGAAGCUAUGCGCUGUGGAUCAGGCUGUGCCCCAGGGCUGCCUUCUGAGUCUCUCAGGGCUGUUGCUGUGAGAACGCGCCCGGCCUGGCCUCCUAGAGGAUGAGAGAUACCUGGAGCAGAGCCACUUUGCUUUGGUCACCCCGGUCAAGGUCAGCCGACAUCGGCCAAUAACCGCGGAAUCUCCCAGACAUGUGAACAAGUCCAGCCAAGGCCAGGUGGUGGCGAUAGACGACAGAUUCUCGCCCUAUCAGAAGGAACAGUCUGGGGUUAUCUGGGAAGGCUUCUUGGAGGAGUGGAUUGAUAAAGUGGGAACGACGCGCUUACAUGACAUAAAAGAGGAGUGUUCGUGGGACGGUAUGAUUGACACCGAUGAGCAGAGCGGGCAUUUUCACAGCUUCCGCCUCCAAGCAUCUUCUCCGUUAAUUUCCUCAGGAUGAGCUUAGCAGCCUGGAGAGGGCUUAAAAGUUACUGGACUGCUAUCAGAUUGCCUGCUUAUGGCUCCAGGCCAUUUGCAAAACCUAGCUGGGUUGCGGUUUCUUCUUUAAACUGGGAUGGUAACGUCUACAGCACAAGCUGGUUCUCUCCUCUCAGAAUGGACUGUCCAGACAUGAUGGAGAGCGCUCUCCUGCUCUGUCCUCACCACAGCCUGGAGCCUCAGAGGACAAAGGGCCCUUCUCACUUCCUUUAGCAGGAAAUAGGGACCCUCGUCCCUCUUCUGGGCUUGCGGCAGCCCACCUGGGAGCAAAUGCGGGAAUAGUACCCUGUGUCAGAAUGCCUCUCAGAAGACUUAGGUCCUCUACCCACAGAAAAUCUCCCAAGAUCCAUCAGCUUCUAAUAUUUAUUCCAGAGACCAGAGCAUGCAGAUAAGUGACUACGUGGUGCUAAAAUUGCAAAUAAAUUUACACAUUCCCACAGUGUAUCCCUGGGCUGGCUGGGGGCCCGGGAAGAGGGAAAACCUGCUCCCAGCUGAUGCGAGGUUCUGAUCGGGGUUUCUCCAGCGGCAAAGGUUCACUCACAAGAAUCUCAGCAUCUUAGAACCUGAGUCAUCAAAACCUAGAAUCCUAUGUUACUAGGUCUUAGAAUCUUUA
This 1563-nucleotide long non-coding RNA is filed under the name Equus caballus (horse). RNAcentral's name for it is "lncRNA (ENSECAG00000045216.1)". Lineage: Eukaryota; Metazoa; Chordata; Mammalia; Perissodactyla; Equidae. The record is from RNAcentral.